Molecule: transfer RNA, 76 nt
Filed under: Paracoccaceae bacterium
Lineage: Bacteria; Pseudomonadati; Pseudomonadota; Alphaproteobacteria; Rhodobacterales; Paracoccaceae
Description: Rhodobacteraceae bacterium (freshwater metagenome) tRNA-Thr
Rfam family: tRNA
About the family: Transfer RNA (tRNA) molecules are approximately 80 nucleotides in length. Their secondary structure includes four short double-helical elements and three loops (D, anti-codon, and T loops). Further hydrogen bonds mediate the characteristic L-shaped molecular structure. tRNAs have two regions of fundamental functional importance: the anti-codon, which is responsible for specific mRNA codon recognition, and the 3' end, to which the tRNAs corresponding amino acid is attached (by aminoacyl-tRNA synthetases). tRNAs cope with the degeneracy of the genetic code in two manners: having more than one tRNA (with a specific anti-codon) for a particular amino acid; and 'wobble' base-pairing, i.e. permitting non-standard base-pairing at the 3rd anti-codon position.
Source: RNAcentral
GCCCUUAUAGCUCAGCUGGUAGAGCACUUGAUUUGUAAUCAAGGGGUCCCGGGUUCAAGUCCUGGUGGGGGCACCA